This 253-nucleotide ribosomal RNA is filed under the name uncultured bacterium. RNAcentral's name for it is "partial 16S ribosomal RNA". It matches the Rfam family "Bacterial small subunit ribosomal RNA", at positions 524 to 776 of the family's 1533-position model. The record is from RNAcentral.
UACAGAGGGUGCGAGCGUUAAUCGGAAUUACUGGGCGUAAAGCGCACGUAGGUGGCGACGUAAGUCGGGUGUGAAAGCCCCGGGCUCAACCUGGGAAUUGCAUUCGAGACUGCAUUGCUGGAGUACGGAAGAGGAGGGCGGAAUUCCCGGUGUAGCGGUGAAAUGCGUAGAUAUCAGGAGGAACACCGGUGGCGAAGGCGGGUCUCUGGGCCGAUACUGACGCUGAGGAGCGAAAGCGUGGGGAGCGAACAGG